Molecule: ribosomal RNA, 397 nt
Filed under: uncultured bacterium
Lineage: Bacteria
Description: partial 16S ribosomal RNA
Rfam family: Bacterial small subunit ribosomal RNA
Source: RNAcentral
AUACGUAGGUGACAAGCGUUAUCCGGAUUUACUGGGCGUAAAGGGCGUGUAGGCGGUCUUGCAAGUCAGAAGUGAAAUUCCUGAGCUCAACUCGGGCGCUGCUUCUGAAACUGCAGGACUUGAGUGCUGGAGGGGAUAGCGGAAUUCCUAGUGGAGCGGUAAAAUGCGCAGAUAUUAGGAAGAACACCGGUGGCGAAGGCGGCUAAUUGGGCAGUAACUGACGCUGAGGCGAGAAAGCGUGGGGAGGAAAAAGGAUUAUAUACACGGGUAGUCCACGCCGUAAACGAUGAAUACUAGGUGUAGGGGGUAUCGACUCCCUCUGUGCCGCAGUUAACACAAUAAGUAUUCCGCCUGGGGAGUACGGCCGCAAGGUUGAAACUCAAAUGAAUUGACGGGG